Molecule: ribosomal RNA, 253 nt
Filed under: uncultured bacterium
Lineage: Bacteria
Description: partial 16S ribosomal RNA
Rfam family: Bacterial small subunit ribosomal RNA
Source: RNAcentral
UACAGAGGGUGCGAGCGUUGUCCGGAAUCACUGGGCGUAAAGGGCGCGUAGGCGGCUUUUCAAGCGUGCGGGGAAAGCUCGGGGCUUAACUCCGAGUCUGCCGUGCGAACUGGGAGGCUUGAGUCUGGUAGAGGUCGAUGGAAUUCCGGGUGUAGCGGUGGAAUGCGUAGAGAUCCGGAAGAACACCGGUGGCGAAGGCGGUCGACUGGGCCAGUACUGACGCUGAGGCGCGACAGCGUGGGGAGCAAACAGG